AAGGGUGUUCAUCUCUACUAAGGAAUCAUAACAAAUUGGGGCAAAUCCCUAAAUUCAAGAUGUUCAUCUCUAGUAACAAUGAGAUGAAAUAAAUUGAAGAUGUACAAACUCCGUGCAAAGACUAUGUACAAGUUGAGUGCAUGUAACAAGAAAAAAAAAGAAUCUCAAAAUCAAGCUCAAAGCGUCAUUAAUGAUCCCUCAUAUUCAAGCAUAAAGGUUUCAUUGAUGAUUCCUUAUAUUCAAGUUUGAAGGCUUCAUCGAUGCUGCAGCUCCAGCUCUUUGAGAGGAUAACGAUGGUACAACUUCGAUAGGACGGCGAUCGGCAGCUCUGCCUUCACCUCUCCAAGAUGAAAACGACAGUGUAACAUCGUUUCUGCCUCUUGAAGAAGAUGCAUACAAUGCUAAAGCUUUAACCUCUGCUUCAUCUUCAACUUAUUGCAACCGAGAGGAUUCAUCUUCAUCUUCUCCUAGGAACCGCAACCGAGAAGAUUCAUUUUUAUCUUCUCUCAGGUGUAGCAACUGAAGAGGAUUCAUCUUCAUCUUCUCCCAAGUGCUACAACCGAAGAGGAUUCAUCUUCAUUUGCUCUAAGGUGUGGCAAGUGAGAGGAUUCAUCUUUUUCUUCUCCCAUGUGUUGCAAUCGAGAGGAUUCAUCUUCAUCUUCUCCUAGGAAUCGCAAUCGAGAAGAUUCAUCUUCAUCUUCUCUUAGGUGUUGCAACCGAAGAGGAUUCAUCUUCAUAUUCUCUUAGGUGUUGCAACCGAAGAGGAUUCAUCUUCAUCUUCUUCUAAGUGUUGCAAUCGAAGAUGAUUCAUCUUCAUCUGCUCUAAGGUGUCGCAAGUGAGAGGAUUCAUCUUUAUCUUCCUCCAUGUGUUACAACCGAGAUGAUUCAUCUUCAUCUUCACCUAGGAGUCACAAUCGAGAAGAUUCAUUUUCAUCUUCUCUCAGGUGUAACAACCGAAGAUGAUUCAUCUUCAUCUACUCUAAGGUGUCGCAAGUGAGAGGAUUCAUCUUUGUCUUCUCCUAUGUGUUGCAACCGAGAGGAUUCAUCUUCAUCUUCUCCUAAGAAUUGCAACUGAGAAGAUUCAUCGUCAUCUUCUCCUAAGAGUCACAACCGAGAAGAUUCACCUUCAUCUUCUUUCAGGUGUCGCAACCAAAGAAGAUUCAUCUUUAUCUUCUUCCAGGUGCUGCAACCAAAGAGGAUUCAUCUUCAUCUUCUUUCAUAUGACGUAGCCGGAAGGAUUCACCUUCAUCUUCUUCUAGGUGCUACAACCGAGAGGAUUCAUCUUCAUCUUCUUCUAAGAAUUGCAACUGAGAAGAUUCAUCUUCAUCUUCUCCUAAGAGUCGCAACCGAGAAGAUUCACCUUCAUCUUCUUUCAGGUGUCGCAACCAAAGAAGAUUCAUCUUCAUCUUCUUUUAGGAGUUGCAACCAAAGAGGAUUCAUCUUCAUCUUCUUUCAUAUGUCGUAGCCGGAAGGAUUCACCUUCAUCUUCUCUAGGUGCUACAAUAAAAGAGGAUUCAUCUUCAUCUUCUCUUAUAUGUCAUAGCUGAGAAGAUUCAUCUUCAUCUUCUCCAGGUGCUGCAAUCGAAAAUGAUUCAUCUUCUCUCAUAUGUCAUAGCCGAGAGGAUUCAUCUUCAUCUUCUCCCAUAUGUCAUAGCCGAGAGGAUUUAUCUUCAUCUUCUCCCAGGUGCUGCAAUUGAAUAGGAUUCAUCUUCAUCUCCUCCCAUAUGUCAUAGUCGAGAGGAUUCAUCUCCUUCCAUAUGUCAUAGCCGAGAGGAUUCAUCUUCAUCUUCUUCCAAGUGCUGCAACUGAAGAGAAUUCAUCUUCAUCUCCUCCCAUAUGUCAUAGCCGAGAGGAUUCAUCUUCAUCUUCUCCUAUAUGUCGUAGCUGAGAGUAUUCAUCUUUAUCAUCUAACAGGUGUCGCAACCCGGCCGAUGGAAUUCAUUUUCAUCAGCUCUAAGGUGUCGCAAGCUAGAUGAUUCAUCUUCAUCUUCUCCCUUGUACCACAACCAAGAAAGAAAAAA
RNAcentral lists this long non-coding RNA (2021 nucleotides) under Cucumis sativus (cucumber). Its description in RNAcentral is "long non-coding RNA (CSAT_LNC003111)". The record is from RNAcentral. Lineage: Eukaryota; Viridiplantae; Streptophyta; Magnoliopsida; Cucurbitales; Cucurbitaceae.